UGGCAUAUCCAAAAAGCGGAGGAAAAGAAACUAACAAGGAUUCCCCUAGUAACGGCGAGUGAAGCGGGAAGAGCUCAAAUUUGAAAGCUGGCACCUUCGGUGUCCGCGUUGUAAUCUCGAGAAGUGUUUUCCGUGCUGGACCAUGUACAAGUUCCUUGGAAUAGGACGUCAUAGAGGGUGAAAAUCCCGUACUUGACAUGGACGCCCAGUGCUUUGUGAUACACUCUCCACGAGUCGAGUUGUUUGGGAAUGCAGCUCAAAAUGGGUGGUAAAUUCCAUCUAAAGCUAAAUAUUGGGGAGAGACCGAUAGCGAACAAGUACCGUGAGGGAAAGAUGAAAAGCACUUUGGAAAGAGAGUUAAACAGUACGUGAAAUUGUCGAAAGGGAAGCGCUUGAAGUUAGACAUGCUUGCCGGGAUUCAGCCUUGCUUUUGCUUGGUGCAUUUCCCGGUGUGCAGGCCAGCAUCAGUUUUGUUUGCCGGAUAAGGGUGAGAGGAAUGUGGCCCCUCGGGGUGUUAUAGCCUCUCACUGGAUACGGCGGAUGGGACUGAGGACCGCAGUGUGCCUUUAUGGCGGGCCUUCGGGCACCUUCACACUUAGGAUGCUGGCGUAAUGGCUUUAAGCGACCCGUCUUGAACCACGGACCC
This 646-nucleotide ribosomal RNA is filed under the name Quambalaria cyanescens. RNAcentral describes it as "partial large subunit ribosomal RNA". It matches the Rfam family "Eukaryotic large subunit ribosomal RNA", at positions 36 to 668 of the family's 3401-position model. Lineage: Eukaryota; Fungi; Basidiomycota; Exobasidiomycetes; Microstromatales; Quambalariaceae. The record is from RNAcentral.